RNAcentral lists this ribosomal RNA (300 nucleotides) under Triticum aestivum (bread wheat). Its description in RNAcentral is "partial small subunit ribosomal RNA". The record is from RNAcentral. Lineage: Eukaryota; Viridiplantae; Streptophyta; Magnoliopsida; Poales; Poaceae.
AGGGUGGGGGUCGUCUUGAAGCUCGACUUUGAGAAAGCGUACGAUAAGGUGAACUGGGAAUUUUUGUUGGAAUGUCAUAAGCUUCGUGGUUUUAGUGACACGUGGUGCAACUGGAUUAAACAGAUCCUACUCAAUGGUACAGUUAGUAUCAAACUUAAUAAUCAGGUCGGUCCUUAUUUCCAGAGUGCUAAGGGUGUUCGACAAGGGGAUCCCCACUCCCCUUUCCUGUUUAAUCUAGCCGCUGAUUGUCUUGCGAAGAUGAUCUCCAAUGCCCAAAAUAAUAACUUUGAACUAUCAUAA